Molecule: long non-coding RNA, 318 nt
Organism: Gossypium arboreum
Lineage: Eukaryota; Viridiplantae; Streptophyta; Magnoliopsida; Malvales; Malvaceae
Exons: 2
Source: RefSeq, a predicted model, not a curated record
AAAUUGUUUGAUUUAGCUCAAGAGCUUAGAGGAUCAAAGUUGGAUAAGGGAAAGGAAAAAGUGAUCGAAUAGCCGUUGAAAUCGUUUGACAACAUCCGAGAUUUUUGUUCGUCAGCUAUCGGACUCGGGAUUGUUGAAGUCAAAGUCGUCCACACUAUCUAAGCCCUUUUGGUACUCUUUUAGUUAAACGUUGAUAAUGGCAUGUAUAGGACUAACCUUUGUUGUUAAUCAAGUACCUUUGGUAAUGUGUAUAUAUUCGGAUAGCCAUGCGAAAAUGGCUUAAAUAUUUUGAGCAUAGUAUUAAAAUCAUUUUGCAUA